RNAcentral lists this ribosomal RNA (473 nucleotides) under uncultured beta proteobacterium. RNAcentral's name for it is "bacterial SSU rRNA". It matches the Rfam family "Bacterial small subunit ribosomal RNA", at positions 43 to 513 of the family's 1533-position model. Lineage: Bacteria; Pseudomonadati; Pseudomonadota; Betaproteobacteria. The record is from RNAcentral.
CAGGCCUAACACAUGCAAGUCGAACGGUAACAGGCCGCAAGGUGCUGACGAGUGGCGAACGGGUGAGUAAUGCAUCGGAACGUGCCCAGUCGUGGGGGAUAACUGCUCGAAAGAGCAGCUAAUACCGCAUACGACCUGAGGGUGAAAGCGGGGGACCGAAAGGCCUCGCGCGAUUGGAGCGGCCGAUGUCAGAUUAGGUAGUUGGUGGGGUAAAGGCCUACCAAGCCGACGAUCUGUAGUUGGUCUGAGAGGACGACCAGCCACACUGGGACUGAGACACGGCCCAGACUCCUACGGGAGGCAGCAGUGGGGAAUUUUGGACAAUGGGGGCAACCCUGGUCCAGCAAUGCCGCGUGCAGGAAGAAGGCCUUCGGGUUGUAAACUGCUUUUGUCAGGGAAGAAAUCCUGUGGGUUAAUACCUCGUGGGGAUGACGGUACCUGAAGAAUAAGCACCGGCUAACUACGUGCCAGCA